CAGGUCCAGAGAGCCGGGGCCUGGAAGCUGGGCCGACACCGGCCGGGCCACAGACCGCUGUGGGUGAGGGCCCAAACCUGACGAGAGCCAGUGCCCGUGGAGCAGACGCCCCAGCCGCCCAGGAUCCAGACGACACCCAGACCCGCUCAAGCGACGUUCGAAAUGUCCAUGAUGUAACCCACAAUUACUUGGUCUGCGAGGAGCCAUCGAGAUGCCAACUCAGAGGAAAAGACCGUCAGCGGACGCCAAGGGUGAAAAAACAUAGGUGUUGAAAUUCUCUAAAGUAAAGGUCUCUAAAGUAAAGGUCAGAAAAACACUCGAAGAAGCAAUCACAGACAUUUUACAAUAAAUGUAAAGAUAUUCACAGUCUCAGCAAAGAAACAAGACACAAGAGGAGUCGUCUGGAAAUGUUAGGCCUGAAAGUCAAAAUCACCAAACCGUUAAAACUCACUAGACAGACUAGCAGAAUGGAGACGACAGAAGAGUCUGCGAACUUGACUGACGACAGGUCAACAGAAGUUAGGCAACCUGAACAAAGAAAGAAAAUCCGUCAGGAGGAGAUUCAGGCCCCAGGGACCUGGGGGACAGAACUAAAGGUCUUGCACUGGUACCGCUGGGGGCCCAAAAGGAAAAGAGCACGGGGGUCCGAAGAAGUAAGGGCUGCAAACUUGUCCCAUGUGGCGGAAGGCCCACACCCACAGAUUUGAGAAGCUGAGUGAGCCCAAAACAGGAUAAAGCCAAAGACGUCCCCCCGCCAGGCACAUCUCACCGAGCUUCUGAAAACCAAGGACAGACUAACCCUGACCGGUGGGGAAGGACCGUGCUUGCCCUACAGGCCCCUCACCGGCAGCCCCGGAGGCCUCGAGGAGCCGCGACACAGUUAAAGACGGAAAGGCUGGCAGCCCAGAGUGCCGUGUCCGGUGAAACAUCCUUCACGAACACAGGCGAAAAAAGUUCUCAAAUGAAAGAAGAUGGAGAGACUCCACAGCCAGCGACGGAAGCUUCUCCGACAAGAGGUAAGUGCCAUCAGAACGAGGCUGGGCCGCCAGCAAUGAGGGCACAGACACAGACUGACCCCUGUCCUCCUGGGUUCUUCAAGACACGUCUGACAGCUGAAAGGAAGGCGGUAGUGUUGCCUGAUGGGGGUUUUCAGUCUAGACAGGUGCCCCGUGGGGGAUGAUAAAGGACCUCUGGGGGUAAGGUGCCUACACCCCAGUCACAGUACAAACUAUCGAGUCCGUGAGUAAACCGUUAGGAGCUGAGCGUGUUGCGGGGCGCCUGGGGGGCUCAGCUGGUUGAGCGUCUGACUCUUGUGUCUCGGCUCAGGUCAUGGUCUCACGGUUUGUGGGACAGAGCCCCACAUCGGGCCGUGCGCCGACAGCACGGCACGGAGCCUGCUUGGGAUUCUCUCUGCUCCUCCCCUGAGCUCGCUCACUCGCUCCCUCUCUCAAAAAUAAACAUGGAAAAAAAAAGAGUGGUGUGCUCCUUAGAACCACCACUAAAACAGCACUAAAAAAUGUUCAAAUCUUGUCCUUCCAGGCAGGAGAGAGGAAACGGAGGGACAGACGGAGGACCGACGUAAAGGACCCCCCCCCCACCUUGCUCAGC
This 1608-nucleotide long non-coding RNA is filed under the name Lynx pardinus (Iberian lynx). The record is from RNAcentral. Lineage: Eukaryota; Metazoa; Chordata; Mammalia; Carnivora; Felidae.